RNAcentral lists this long non-coding RNA (1160 nucleotides) under Ananas comosus (pineapple). Its description in RNAcentral is "long non-coding RNA (ACOM_LNC033734)". The record is from RNAcentral. Lineage: Eukaryota; Viridiplantae; Streptophyta; Magnoliopsida; Poales; Bromeliaceae.
UGCUAGCGGGUCGGGUUCGUUACAAUUGAUAUCAGUGACCGAAUACCAGCCGAAAGUGUGAAUAAGUGCUGUAUGCGGACAAAAAGUGCUACACCAAUGGGUUUGGUGGUGUACCACCUCUUCGAAUUCCGUAGGAGCCACCUCUUAAAAUCUCACAUCGGCGUGGUAAUUGGUCUGCUGCGUCUGUCUGUCUGUGAUCUCGAUUUGGACGCCGAGGAGGACGUGCAGGUCUAACGGGUGAGUUUGUAACAGCGCCAAUAGUCCCACAUCGGAUGGGAUACUGAUUCCGAUCAGUUUAUAUGAGACCUACACGCUAGUAAUAAUAACUGGGCUUAAGCAUUUUGGGCCGGUGGUUGGGCCCAACGAGUUAUUGUUGCUAGCGGGUCAGGUCGUUGCAAUUGGUAUCAGAGCCGAAUACCAGCCGGAAGUGUGAGAACUAAGUGCUAUGCGGGACAAAGUGCUACACCAAUGGGUUUGGUGGGAGCCACCUCUUGAACCCGUAGGAGCCACCUCUAGAAUCUCACAUCGCCUGGUAAUGGUCCUGGUCUGUCUGUCUGUGAUCUGAUUUGGACCCGACAAGGACGUCAGUGUCUAAACAGGGGGAGUUUGUAACACCCCUAAUAGUCCCACAUCGGAUGGGAUACUGAUUCCGAUCAGUUUAUAUGAGACAUACACGCUAGUAAUAAUAACUGAGCUUAAGCAUUUUGGGCCGGUGGUUGGGCCCAACGAGUUAUUGUUGCUAGCGGGUCGGUCGUUGCAAUAAUUGGGCUUAAGCAUUUUGGGCUGGUGGUUUGGGCCCAACGAGUUAUUGUUGCUAGCGGGUCGGGUCGUUACAAUUGGUAUCAGAGCCGAAUACCAGUCGGAAGUGUGAGAACUAAGUGCUAUGCGGGACAAAGUGCUACACCAAUGGGUUUGGUGAGAGCCACCUCUUGAACCCGUAGGAGCCACAUCUAGAAUUUCACAUCGCCUGGUAAUGGUCCUGGUCUGUCUAUCUGUGAUCUGAUUUGGACCCGACGAGGACGUCAUGGUCUAAACAGGAGGAGUUUGUAACACCCCCAAUAGUCUCACAUCGGAUGGGAUACUGAUUCCGAUCAGUUUAUAUGAGACCUACACGCUAGUAAUAAUAACUGGGCUUAAGCAUUUUGGGCCGGUGGUUGGGC